GACUCCGUAGCUCAGCGGAUAGAGCAAACGUUUCCUAAACGUUAGGUCGGAGGUUCAAGUCCUCUCGGGGUCGCCA
Molecule: transfer RNA, 76 nt
Filed under: Paenibacillaceae bacterium
Lineage: Bacteria; Bacillati; Bacillota; Bacilli; Caryophanales; Paenibacillaceae
Description: tRNA-Arg
Rfam family: tRNA
About the family: Transfer RNA (tRNA) molecules are approximately 80 nucleotides in length. Their secondary structure includes four short double-helical elements and three loops (D, anti-codon, and T loops). Further hydrogen bonds mediate the characteristic L-shaped molecular structure. tRNAs have two regions of fundamental functional importance: the anti-codon, which is responsible for specific mRNA codon recognition, and the 3' end, to which the tRNAs corresponding amino acid is attached (by aminoacyl-tRNA synthetases). tRNAs cope with the degeneracy of the genetic code in two manners: having more than one tRNA (with a specific anti-codon) for a particular amino acid; and 'wobble' base-pairing, i.e. permitting non-standard base-pairing at the 3rd anti-codon position.
Source: RNAcentral